GACGAACGCUGGCGGCGUGCUUAACACAUGCAAGUCGAACGGAAAGACCCUGCUUUUGUGGGGUGCUCGAGUGGCGAACGGGUGAGUAACACGUGAGUAACCUGCCCUUGACUUUGGGAUAACUUCAGGAAACUGGGGCUAAUACCGGAUAGGAACUCCUGCUGCAUGGUGGGGGUUGGAAAGUUUCGGCGGUUGGGGAUGGACUCGCGGCUUAUCAGCUUGUUGGUGGGGUAGUGGCUUACCAAGGCUUUGACGGGUAGCCGGCCUGAGAGGGUGACCGGCCACAUUGGGACUGAGAUACGGCCCAGACUCCUACGGGAGGCAGCAGUGGGGAAUAUUGCACAAUGGGCGGAAGCCUGAUGCAGCAACGCCGCGUGCGGGAUGACGGCCUUCGGGUUGUAAACCGCUUUCGCCUGUGACGAAGCGUGAGUGACGGUAAUGGGUAAAGAAGCACCGGCUAACUACGUG
This 468-nucleotide ribosomal RNA is filed under the name uncultured bacterium. Its description in RNAcentral is "partial 16S ribosomal RNA". It matches the Rfam family "Bacterial small subunit ribosomal RNA", at positions 28 to 507 of the family's 1533-position model. The record is from RNAcentral.